Molecule: non-coding RNA, 106 nt
Organism: Gossypium hirsutum (cotton)
Lineage: Eukaryota; Viridiplantae; Streptophyta; Magnoliopsida; Malvales; Malvaceae
Source: Rfam
AAUUCAUGGUGUGAGUAUUUUUUAAUCAAUAUUCUAAAACAUUCCCAUGCCUCAUAGAAACUUUCUCCCUCCAUCUAUCUACAUAUAACAAUCUCUCUUCUUAGUU